GAUGAACGCUGGCGGCGUGCCUAACACAUGCAAGUCGAGCGUGAAGCUCUUUAUUGAUUCUUCGGAUGAUUUAAAGAGUGGAAAGCGGCGGACGGGUGAGUAACGCGUGGGUAACCUGCCCUAUACACAGGGAUAGCCUCGGGAAACCGGGAUUAAUACCUGAUAAAACUCUAGUAUGGCAUCAUACAUGAGUCAAAAUUUCAGUGGUAUAGGAUGGACCCGCGUCUGAUUAGCUAGUGUAGUAAGGCUUACAAGGCGACGAUCAGUAGCCGACCUGAGAGGGUGAUCGGCCACACUGGAACUGAGACACGGUCCAGACUCCUACGGGAGGCAGCAGUGGGGAAUAUUGCACAAUGGGCGAAAGCCUGAUGCAGCAACG
RNAcentral lists this ribosomal RNA (379 nucleotides) under uncultured bacterium. RNAcentral describes it as "bacterial SSU rRNA". It matches the Rfam family "Bacterial small subunit ribosomal RNA", at positions 28 to 396 of the family's 1533-position model. The record is from RNAcentral.